GACAAACGCUGGCGGCGUGCCUAAUACAUGCAAGUCGAACGACGAAAGCCUUCGGGCAAGUAAGAGUGGCGCACGGGCGAGGAACACGUAGAUAAUCUGCCCUUCAGUGGGGAAUAACUCUCCGAAAGGAGUGCUAAUACCGCAUAAGACCACAAGCUCUGCGGAGCAAGGGGUUAAAGGAUUUAUUCGCUGAAGGAUGAGUCGGCGUCCGAUUAGCUAGUUGGUGAGGUAAUGACUUACCAAGGCAAUGAUCGGUAGAUGGUCUGAGAGGAUGAUCAUCCGCACUGGAACUGAGACACGGUCCAGACUCCUACGGGAGGCAGCAGUAGGGAAUAUUGCACAAUGGGGGAAACCCUGAUGCAGCAACGCCGCGUGAGUGAUGAAGGCUCUAGGGUCGUAAAGCUCUGUCGUAUGGGAAGAAAAAAAUGACGGUACCAUACAAGAAAGGACCGGCCAACUUCGUGCCAGCAGCCGCCGUAA
This 480-nucleotide ribosomal RNA is filed under the name uncultured bacterium. RNAcentral describes it as "partial 16S ribosomal RNA". It matches the Rfam family "Bacterial small subunit ribosomal RNA", at positions 28 to 523 of the family's 1533-position model. The record is from RNAcentral.